Molecule: long non-coding RNA, 1430 nt
Organism: Phyllopteryx taeniolatus (common seadragon)
Lineage: Eukaryota; Metazoa; Chordata; Actinopteri; Syngnathiformes; Syngnathidae
Exons: 3
Source: RefSeq, a predicted model, not a curated record
UUUUGAAAGCAUGACUCAAGCACAUUAGCCCUGUCUAUGCGAGUGCUAACUACUAACAUAGUUCACAGUCUAAUCUGUCUUCAUACAGCAUCUAGCUUUCUCUCGUCCGCUCCGUCAGACGUAAACAGAAGAGAAAAAAAACCACAAUAUUGACUCUGAAUGGUAGAAGCUGAAGCAGUUCUUCAAAGCCGUGACUCACACUGAGCAACGUGUCAGAGCUGAGAAAUCGAAGACGUCGAGCAGUUGGCAGGCUGGCUAACUGAGCCUGGAAGGAAGUCCGUUGAGGCCUGGCUCGGUUCUGCUUGGAAGCCUUGGAAGGCCGAACUGCAAAGCUGAGGCGGCGAGGAUUUAUUGUAAACCACAAGGAUGGAAAAUGUUACCAUAUUCCAAGGGGCUCACAUGUCUGCGUGAAACAAGAAGAAGGAGAAGAGUAUAGAUCCAGGAAAGUUAGAGCUGACUGGAGAGGAUCCCGCUGUCGCUAAAGGCAACCAGAGUCAGCACAUUGUCAGUUAUAAAUCUCGCAUUACGCAAAUAACACAGUAGUACAUACUGUAUUCAUAGGCACUGAAAGCUUUGGAAGUGGGAGCUGUAAAGGCUAUAACUGAUUUAUCUUAAUUUGACUUCCAAUGGCAGUGUUAUAAAUCGCACACACAACACAAAUCCUUGAUAAUUCUUCUUAAAACAAUGUUAUCGAUCCAGCAGAUGCAGAUCAUCCAAGUUGAUUUUUUUUCUUUUUUCUUUUUUUUUUUUUCUGGACACGCGCCACUAGUUGCUAGACAGAGUUUUUGGGUUGUCCCAUAAGCUAAUGAAAAGCCACGCUAAAGGAACUGCCACCUAAAUAUGAGACCACUUUUUGUUUGCAUUGGAAUCAGUGCACUGUAUUAAAUAUAAUACAAUUUGCUACUAAUUACCAUCCAAAGCAAAUAAAAUUGCAGGGUUUUUUUCUGCACAAACUGGGAGGAAGGCCAAUUACUUUCAAACAGAGCAUCAAUCACUUUUUCUCUCAACGACAAAACAAUUCAUACAAUCAGUCUUUUCUGCUCUGUUAUCCUCAGCCCGUCUGUGUCUCUUUGUCUGAGCACCUGUUGUUUUUGUGGAAAGUGCUGUUCAUUAUCCCCCCUGCAUCGUUUUUCCUGAUGUACACAUCUUUCAGCUUGCUGCUUUGAGCCUUGAGAUGCUCCUUAUGAAUAUUUAACUUCCCUUGCCUAGUACAUGUACUGGCUGAUUAGUCUUAUUGCUUCUUACGCAGACUAUCUUUUUCUUUCUGUGUGAAAUGUAAGAUCGGACGAGAAUUAGUCCAUUUAGAUAAAAGCUUUAUGUGACUGUAGCUGAUAGGCAAUACAGUUUAUUAUAUUACAUAAGAUUUGCCUUUUACAGUGAGCCUUUUAUAAGAGUUUGAAAAGCCUUAGCAUAUCAUUGCAGGCGAUUCA